Molecule: ribosomal RNA, 253 nt
Filed under: uncultured bacterium
Lineage: Bacteria
Description: partial 16S ribosomal RNA
Rfam family: Bacterial small subunit ribosomal RNA
Source: RNAcentral
UACGUAGGGCGCAAGCGUUGUCCGGAAUUAUUGGGCGUAAAGAGCUCGUAGGCGGCCUGUUGCGUCCGCUGUGAAAUCCCGGGGCUUAACCCCGGGCCUGCAGUGGAUACGGGCAGGCUAGAGGUAGGUAGGGGAGAAUGGAAUUCCCGGUGUAGCGGUGAAAUGCGCAGAUAUCGGGAGGAACACCGGUGGCGAAGGCGGUUCUCUGGGCCUUACCUGACGCUGAGGAGCGAAAGCGUGGGGAGCGAACAGG